Molecule: ribosomal RNA, 406 nt
Filed under: uncultured bacterium
Lineage: Bacteria
Description: partial 16S ribosomal RNA
Rfam family: Bacterial small subunit ribosomal RNA
Source: RNAcentral
AUUGAACGCUGGCGGCAGGCCUAACACAUGCAAGUCGAACGAGUGGCGGACGGGUGAGUAAUGUAUGGGAAACUGCCAGAUGGAGGGGGAUAACUACUGGAAACGGUAGCUAAUACCGCAUACCAUCGGAUGUGCCCAGAUGGGAUUAGCUAGUAGGUGGGGUAACGGCUCACCUAGGCGACGAUCCCUAGCUGGUCUGAGAGGAUGACCAGCCACACUGGAAAUGAGACACGGGCCAGACUCCUACGGGAGGCAGCAGUGGGGAAUAUUGCACAAUGGGCGCAAGCCUGAUGCAGCCAUGCCGCGUGUAUGAAGAAGGCCUUCGGGUUGUAAAGUACUGUCAGCGGGGAGGCGUUACCCGCAGAAGAAGCACCGGCUAACUCCGUGCCAGCAGCCGCGGUAAUUC